This 70-nucleotide microRNA precursor is filed under the name Myotis davidii. Its description in RNAcentral is "mir-9193 microRNA precursor family". It matches the Rfam family "mir-9193 microRNA precursor family". The record is from Rfam by way of RNAcentral. Lineage: Eukaryota; Metazoa; Chordata; Mammalia; Chiroptera; Vespertilionidae.
CUUGGGGGGUGUCCCUCAGCCUGGAUUGCAAGAGGGCACAGGCCAGGCUGAGGGAUCCUACCUGUGCACG